CAGAAAAAAGGGAUUGGCCAGCGGCGCACUCCCCUAUCCCCAUCCCCAGAUUCCUCUCGCUUUCUCUCGUCCGCCGCUGCGGCCUCCACCGCCGACCUCCCCACACCGCCGCCACCUCCCACGCCCUCCCCAAAGGCUGAAGCUCCCACCCCUUCUCUCCUUCUCCUCACCAUCAGCGACUUGCACCGCCCCCCCUCCCGCACCAGAUCGGGCAGAAGGUGGGGACGUGAAUCAGGCUCAGAUCCGGCACGGCCAGAGCACUGGUUCCCGUUGAGAUGCCAUGGAUAAGGUGCUCUGGCCCUGGUGCUACAGCCAUGGAGAAGGUGCCCUCCCCAUCUCUCUUCUCUCUCUCUCUCUCGGAUUCGAUUUAAUUUCAGGUUGCCCACCCGACCCCGACCAACGAGACCUGGACUUAGUGCUAAUGCUCGUAGCAAUGAUACCCGGAAAACUAAAUGAUUGAAUGGGAGAAAAAGAAGGAACGAGCUUAGGAAUCAGCUUGGGGGUGGGAAAAGAAUGAUAAACACAUGUAAUUUUUAUAUGAGAUUCACACUUAAUUAUCAAGUCACAUUUGAACUCUAAGUGUUCUGUUUUCCAAAAUUCAGUAAACAAGUUUGUCCACCAGGCUCAGUGAAGGGGACCUUAGUUUGGGUGAUUGGAGGCUUACUAGAAUGAUGAAACAAGCUGACCUAAUAUAUAAUGAAGAUAAUCUAUUACAAAUACUCAAAGGGCUCGAGGCAAAGGGAAACUGAGGCAGGCUGUUGCUGUUACCGAGUGGGUGUACAAUGGAAAUAGUUACAAGCAUCGAAGAAGCAGGUAAUUUUCUGUUGAUGCAUUCAUUUGGUACUUAUUUCUUUCUUUCCAGCCACCGUAAGCAUAAUUUCAUGGUGCGAAAUUAUGCUGGAAUAUCAAUAACUUAACUAAUAUUUGCUCUGGUAAAUGUUUAUUACCGAUGUACUGUUCUAUUUGUACGAUGCAUCUUUUGUUAUCUUAGAGCAAUUGAUUGCCCAGAUUAGUUUCUAGGAUAAUCAGAUGGUAGCUUCUAUUAGCUGAUCCAUGAAAGGUUUCUAGGAUAAUCAGAUGGUAGCUUCUAUUAGCUGAUCCAUGAAAGGUUAAGUUUCCAUUUUUCACCUCUUCGGGCGUGGCAGUACUCUGGCGCACUACAACACCUGGCUGAUGCUCAUCUACAUCACCCAUUUGUCGCUCAGAAACAAAUAUGGGAGUACCAGCAAGGCCUUGGUUCUGAACCAGUCCAUAUCCGAGACAACAUUUGGGAAGGUGUCUGAUUUCAUUCAAUCUUUUGCAUCAUUUGCCAAGAAGGAUGAGCCUAGAGAGGUUGUGACGUUGCUGCCAAUGAGCCUUUGCUCUGAAAAAAAAUGCUUCUAUGCCAUGUGAUAUGAACGAUGUUGCACCACAAUGUUCUGUACAUUUAGCAUUCCGCCGUCCAUGGCAGCGAUUCCAGGAGCGAGCUCCAUCUCCUAUGAUGCUUCUCACAGCCCCAGCAUCCUCAUGGCAGGUCAGGUCUGCAUCACCGAGGUAUUCUGUUUCUGGUGAAAGGGCAGGUCUUCACUUCUGGAUUACUGCCUCCCUUCCCAAUUUACUUGCUAUGUGGAAGGUGGUUGCACUAUGGGGGACAGUGUCCAAGAGAGAGCCACUUAAAUGGUUAGAUGUUGAAGGCAACUGUACAUGUUUUAUUUCACUGUUUUUCAUCUUUUUCUGGAGAUGAUUUCAGUACUUUCUAUUACUGUGAUGUUAGAACCAAGAUGCAUGUGUCACAUGUGCCAUCAAUUGUGUAAUGAACUUUCUAUUGUGUU
Molecule: RNA transcript, 1811 nt
Organism: Triticum aestivum (bread wheat)
Lineage: Eukaryota; Viridiplantae; Streptophyta; Magnoliopsida; Poales; Poaceae
Exons: 5
Source: RefSeq, a predicted model, not a curated record